GACGAACGCUGGCGGCGUGCUUAACACAUGCAAGUCGAACGGUGAAGCGCUUUCCUUUUUGGUUGGUGUGGAUGAGUGGCGAACGGGUGAGUAACACGUGAGUAACCUGCCCCCUUCUUCUGGAUAACCGCAUGAAAGUGUGGCUAAUACGGGAUAUUCUGCGCCUGCUGCAUGGUGGGUGUGGGAAAGAUUGUGCCUUUGGGUGUUUUCGGUGGGGGAUGGGCUCGCGGCCUAUCAGCUUGUUGGUGGGGUGAUGGCCUACCAAGGCGGUGACGGGUAGCCGGCCGGAGAGGGUGGACGGUCACACUGGGACUGAGACACGGCCCAGACUCCUACGGGAGGCAGCAGUGGGGAAGAUUGCACAAUGGGCGCAAGCCUGAUGCAGCGACGCCGCGUGAGGGAUGGAGGCCUUCGGGUUGUGAACCUCUUUCGCCAGUGAAGCAGGCCUGCUCCUUGUGGGUGGGUUGACGGUAGCUGGAUAAGAAGCGCCGGCUAACUACGUG
Molecule: ribosomal RNA, 503 nt
Filed under: uncultured bacterium
Lineage: Bacteria
Description: partial 16S ribosomal RNA
Rfam family: Bacterial small subunit ribosomal RNA
Source: RNAcentral